This 739-nucleotide ribosomal RNA is filed under the name Alteromonas marina. Its description in RNAcentral is "bacterial SSU rRNA". It matches the Rfam family "Bacterial small subunit ribosomal RNA", at positions 28 to 766 of the family's 1533-position model. Lineage: Bacteria; Pseudomonadati; Pseudomonadota; Gammaproteobacteria; Alteromonadales; Alteromonadaceae. The record is from RNAcentral.
AUUGAACGCUGGCGGCAGGCCUACACAUGCAAGUCGAACGGUAACAGGUUGUGCUUGCUCAUCGCUGACGAGUGGCGGACGGGUGAGUAAUGCUUGGGAACUUGCCUUUGCGAGGGGGAUAACAGUUGGAAACGACUGCUAAUACCGCAUAAUGUCUUCGGACCAAACGGGGCUUCGGCUCCGGCGCAAAGAGAGGCCCAAGUGAGAUUAGCUAGUUGGUAAGGUAACGGCUUACCAAGGCGACGAUCUCUAGCUGUUCUGAGAGGAAGAUCAGCCACACUGGGACUGAGACACGGCCCAGACUCCUACGGGAGGCAGCAGUGGGGAAUAUUGCACAAUGGGGGAAACCCUGAUGCAGCCAUGCCGCGUGUGUGAAGAAGGCCUUCGGGUUGUAAAGCACUUUCAGUUGUGAGGAAAAGUUAGUAGUUAAUACCUGCUAGCCGUGACGUUAACAACAGAAGAAGCACCGGCUAACUCCGUGCCAGCAGCCGCGGUAAUACGGAGGGUGCGAGCGUUAAUCGGAAUUACUGGGCGUAAAGCGCACGCAGGCGGUUUGUUAAGCUAGAUGUGAAAGCCCCGGGCUCAACCUGGGAUGGUCAUUUAGAACUGGCAGACUAGAGUCUUGGAGAGGGGAGUGGAAUUCCAGGUGUAGCGGUGAAAUGCGUAGAUAUCUGGAGGAACAUCAGUGGCGAGGGCGACUCCCUGGCCAAAGACUGACGCUCAUGUGCGAAGUGUGGGU